GAUGAACGCUAGCUACAGGCUUAACACAUGCAAGUCGAGGGGCAGCAUGAACUUAGCUUGCUAAGUUUGAUGGCGACCGGCGCACGGGUGAGUAACACGUAUCCAACCUUCCGUUUACUCAGGGAUAGCCUUUCGAAAGAAAGAUUAAUACCUGAUAGUAUGGUGAGAUUGCAUGAUAACACCAUUAAAGAUUUAUUGGUAAACGAUGGGGAUGCGUUCCAUUAGGUAGUAGGCGGGGUAACGGCCCACCUAGCCUGCGAUGGAUAGGGGUUCUGAGAGGAAGGUCCCCCACAUUGGAACUGAGACACGGUCCAAACUCCUACGGGAGGCAGCAGUGAGGAAUAUUGGUCAAAUGGGCGAGAGCCUGAACCAGCCAAGUAGCGUGAAGGAUGAAGGUCCUACGGAUUGUAAACUUCUUUUAUACGGGAAUAAAGUUUCCUACGUGUAGGAUUUUGUAUGUACCGUAUGAAUAAGCAUCGGCUAACUCCGUGCCAGCAGCC
RNAcentral lists this ribosomal RNA (500 nucleotides) under uncultured bacterium. Its description in RNAcentral is "bacterial SSU rRNA". It matches the Rfam family "Bacterial small subunit ribosomal RNA", at positions 28 to 516 of the family's 1533-position model. The record is from RNAcentral.